This 795-nucleotide non-coding RNA is filed under the name Abracris sp. OR222. RNAcentral's name for it is "12S ribosomal RNA". The stretch from base 348 to 784 matches the Rfam family "Microsporidia small subunit ribosomal RNA", at positions 752 to 1303 of the family's 1311-position model. The record is from RNAcentral. Lineage: Eukaryota; Metazoa; Arthropoda; Insecta; Orthoptera; Acrididae.
UGAAAGUUUUAUUCUUGCUUAUUUAUUUACUUUUUCUUUUUAUUAUAUGUAAGUUUUGUUAAACUAAAUGUUCUAUUUUGCAGUGAUUUGAUUUAAUUUAUUAAGUGACUUUAGAAUUAGCAAUUGAUUUUAGUGUUGGCAUAAUUCGUGCCAGCAGCUGCGGUUAUACGAUUGAUGCAAGUAAAUAUUAUUGGUUUAAACAGUUAUUUAUAUUUUUGAAUUAAUUUAUUAAUUAUUUUAGGUGAAAUUACAUAUUUUAUUUGAGAUUCUUAUUAUGAACCUGUGAAAUUUAAAUAAUAAACUAGGAUUAGAUACCCUAUUAUUUUAAAUGUAAAUUGCGCUUACUUGGGUACUGUUAGUUAAUUUCUUUAAACCCAAAGAAUUUGGCGGUAUCUUAUUCUAUUCAGAGGAACCUGCCCUGUUAUUGAUAGUACACGAUUAACUUUACUUAAUUUAUUUGUUUGUAUAUCUCCGUUAUCAGAAGAUUUUUUUAGAAUUAUAAUUUUCUUAAUUUCUAAUUAGAAAUUAUUUCAGGUCAAGGUGCAGCUUAUAAUUAAGGAGAGGUGGGUUACAAUAAGUUUUUGUUUAUAAUGGAUUAGAGGUUUAAAUAUUUUUAUGAAGGUGGAUUUGAUAGUAAUUUAAUUUAAUUAAGUUAAUUGAUAUUAGCUCUGAGAUGUGUACACAUCGCCCGUCGCUCUCAUCAUUAGUUAUCUUAUUGUUAUUUUUGAUUUUAAUUUAGAUGAGAUAAGUCGUAACAUAGUAGAUGUACUGGAAAGUGUAUCUAGUAAGAUUAAU